GCAGGGAUAGCAAAGCCUGGUCAAAUGCGACGGGUUCAGGGCCCGCUCCCUUAGGGGUUCGAGAGUUCAAAUCUCUCUCCCUGCA
This 85-nucleotide transfer RNA is filed under the name Candidatus Martarchaeota archaeon. RNAcentral's name for it is "tRNA-Leu". It matches the Rfam family "tRNA". Rfam says of the family: Transfer RNA (tRNA) molecules are approximately 80 nucleotides in length. Their secondary structure includes four short double-helical elements and three loops (D, anti-codon, and T loops). RNAcentral also lists the same sequence under 3 other names. The record is from RNAcentral. Lineage: Archaea; Thermoproteati; Thermoproteota.